This 429-nucleotide ribosomal RNA is filed under the name uncultured prokaryote. RNAcentral describes it as "bacterial SSU rRNA". It matches the Rfam family "Bacterial small subunit ribosomal RNA", at positions 355 to 776 of the family's 1533-position model. The record is from RNAcentral. RNAcentral also lists the same sequence under 1 other name.
UGGGGAAUUUUGGACAAUGGGGGGAACCCUGAUCCAGCCAUCCCGCGUGUGAGAUGAAGGCCUUCGGGUUGUAAAGCACUUUUGUCAGGGAAGAAAAGACUAUCGAUAAUACCGGUGGUCGAUGACGGUACCUGCAGAAUAAGCACCGGCAAACUACGUGCCAGCAGCCGCGGUAAUACGUAGGGUGCAAGCGUUAAUCGGAAUUACUGGGCGUAAAGCGUGCGCAGGCGGUUCGGAAAGAAGGAUGUGAAAUCCCAGGGCUCAACCUUGGAACUGCAUUCUUAACUACCGGACUAGAGUAUGUCAGAGGGGGGUAGAAUUCCGCGUGUAGCAGUGAAAUGCGUAGAUAUGCGGAGGAAUACCGAUGGCGAAGGCAGCCCCCUGGGAUAAUACUGACGCUCAUGCACGAAAGCGUGGGUAGCAAACAGG